Molecule: ribosomal RNA, 482 nt
Filed under: uncultured bacterium
Lineage: Bacteria
Description: partial 16S ribosomal RNA
Rfam family: Bacterial small subunit ribosomal RNA
Source: RNAcentral
AUUGAACGCUGGCGGCAUGCCUUACACAUGCAAGUCGAACGGUAACGGGCCUUCGGGUGCCGCCGAGUGGCGAACGGGUGAGUAUUACAUCGGAACGUGCCCGAUCUUGGGGGAUAACGAGGCGAAAGCUUUGCUAAUACCUCAUACGAUCUACGGAUGAAAGCAGGGGACCGCAAGGCCUUGCGCGGACGGUGCGGCCGAUGGCAGAUUAGGUAGUUGGUGGGAUAAAAGCUUACCAAGCCGACGAUUUGUAGCUGGUCUGAGAGGAUGAUCAGCCACACUGGGACUGAGACACGGCCCAGACUCCUACGGGAGGCAGCAGUGGGGAAUGUUGGACAAUGGGCGCAAGCCUGAUCCAGCCAUGCCGCGUGCAGGAUGAAGGCCUUCGGGUUGUAAACUGCUUUUGUACGGAACGAAAAGCCUUCUUUUAAUACAGGAGGGUCAUGACGGUACCGUAAGAAUAAGCACCGGCUAACUACGUG